Molecule: non-coding RNA, 74 nt
Organism: Ameiurus melas (black bullhead)
Lineage: Eukaryota; Metazoa; Chordata; Actinopteri; Siluriformes; Ictaluridae
Source: the annotation of a GenBank genome assembly
GGAAGUGGUAGCUCAGUGGUUAAGACAUUGGACUACUGCUCAAAUGGUUGUGAGUUCAAAUCCCAGCACUGCCA